AUGGCGAGGAAGUAUGCAAGGCUGUGACAUCAGCUUUAAUGGAGAUCAAUGAAUACAAUCCUAGUGGACGGUAUAUCACAUCGGAGCUAUGGAACUACCAAGAGGAAAGGAAAGCAACGUUGCGAGAGGGAGUAAGAUAUUUACUGGACAAGCUGGGUAGAAGCAACUAGAAAAGGGGAACACACCCUGAAGCCAUGAUGAUCAAACCAACAUCAUUGCCAUGAAAUAAAACGCACCGCGUUCUAUCGGGUCAGAAUUCUCGUAUGGAGUUAUCUGAUCUUUGUUUAAAGAAAAUCCAAACACAGGCAUGGAGAUGAAGUUCUCUUCUUUGCAAUUAUAUGACGUCUAACCAGGAGAUGGAAU
This 363-nucleotide unclassified non-coding RNA is filed under the name Hevea brasiliensis (rubber tree). The record is from RNAcentral. Lineage: Eukaryota; Viridiplantae; Streptophyta; Magnoliopsida; Malpighiales; Euphorbiaceae.